AUACGUAGGGGGCGAGCGUUGUCCGGAAUGAUUGGGCGUAAAGGGCGCGUAGGCGGCUUUGCAAGUCAGUAGUGGAAGUCCAUUUUUCAAGGAUGGAAGUGCUACAGAAACUGCGGAGCUUGAGUGCAGGAGAGGGUAUCGGAAUUCCCGGUGUAGCGGUGAAAUGCGUAGAGAUCGGGAGGAACGCCAGUGGCGAAGGCGGGUAACUGGACUGCAACUGACGCUGAGGCGCGAAAGUGUGGGGAGCAAACAGGAUUAGAUACCCUGGUAGUCCACACUGUAAACGAUGAAUGCUAGGUGUAGGAGGUAUCGACCCCUUCUGUGCCGCAGUAAACACAGUAAGCAUUCCGCCUGGGGAGUACGGUCGCAAGAUUAAAACUCAAAUGAAUUGACGGGG
This 397-nucleotide ribosomal RNA is filed under the name uncultured bacterium. RNAcentral's name for it is "partial 16S ribosomal RNA". It matches the Rfam family "Bacterial small subunit ribosomal RNA", at positions 523 to 918 of the family's 1533-position model. The record is from RNAcentral.